Molecule: non-coding RNA, 409 nt
Organism: Onthophagus taurus
Lineage: Eukaryota; Metazoa; Arthropoda; Insecta; Coleoptera; Scarabaeidae
Source: RefSeq, a predicted model, not a curated record
UACGUUUUAGAAUUGAGGCAUAAAACUUCCUGAGGUUGUAAAAGAAUACUUGAGGUUAAGUUAUGCCAAAUUUUAAGUUUCCAGGUUGAACGGUUCUUUUUAUAAAAAUUUAUAUAAAUUGCUAAUCUAAAUUUAAGGUUUUUUGAAGAUGAAGUAAAGAAAAAUUUUUUUCUCCAAUACGUUUUAGAAUUGAGACAUGAAACUUCCUGAGGUUGUAAAAGAAUACUUGAGGUUAAGUUAUGCCAAAUUUUAAGUUUCCAGGUUGAACGGUUCUUUUUAUAAAAAUUUAUAUAAAUUGCUAAUCUAAAUUUAAGGUUUUUUGAAGAUGAAGUAAAGAAAAAUUUUUUUCUCCAAUACGUUUUAGAAUUGAGACAUGAAACUUCCUGAGGUUGUAAAAGAAUACUUGAGG